Molecule: long non-coding RNA, 3454 nt
Organism: Sciurus carolinensis (gray squirrel)
Lineage: Eukaryota; Metazoa; Chordata; Mammalia; Rodentia; Sciuridae
Exons: 3
Source: RefSeq, a predicted model, not a curated record
CUGUGGGCAGCUUUGACAACAAGCAGACGAAAGAGGAACUCCGUUGAGCCCAAUCUCAAACCAAAAGCCUACCUCCACCCCCUACCAGUGAAAUAUACCUCAGAACAAGAUCAAAACACCUGGAGUGGUCAGGUAGCCUGAUCCAUAAGCAGCAGGUUUAGAAGCGAUCAAUCAGCAGCCAUCCGAGUCAGAUAAACCUCAAGGCUGAGAUUGAAGGAAAUCAUGAGCUUCAGCGGACACGCAAAAGCAAACCUGCAAGUGAAGGCGGAGAUCACAGAGCCACACACCUAGUCCCUUGAGUUACAUACGGAAAGAGGCUGGUGAAAGAGGCUGGUGAGAGAAAUAUCGCGAGAGGAGCCAAGCCUCCCCUGCCUGGUCUGUCUUGCUGGCAUGCAGAGCUCAGAAACCGUCACCAAUGUGGUGGAGGCAUAAAUGGGGGACGAGGUGUCAAGAGUUUCCAAAGGCAAGAAGCGGGGAAAUGAGCCAUCACCUCACCCUGGCAACAUGGGGACAGGCCUCAUCACCACCGAGUAACAAGUCACAGUACAUGGACACCACCAGCUGUAAACCCUGUCCCAGUUCUUUCCCUCCAGAGCUCCAUCGUCCCCUUCUCCUGAUUACUCACCAUACAGGGUAGGGGUCAGAUGGACCAACAUGGCACCCAGCCCCCAUUUGCUUCCAGUUAGUGGGUAACAACUGGGAUUGCAAAGGUUUGGGUUUUUGUUUUUUGGUUUUUGUUUUUUUAAUUUUUGGUAUUUUGUUUUCUUCAUCUACUUGCUUGUGUCUGGGAAAGAACUUAUAUGCCUAAAGGGAAAACCCUAUGUGCAUAAUAUCUAUUUCUCCAUAAAGAACUAAAGUGUGUGACUUCUGGAGCCAGUUCCAUUUCCAUGUAUAUAGAAGGGCAGAGAUUAGUAACAGUGCUCAAACAUGCAUAUAGUCUGGUGCCAAGGUGAGGAUACCUAGAUUUAUAUUUCUUCAUUGGAGGUAUUAAUCUCAAUGCACGUUAAGUCACAUAAGGUAUUUCCUUGGCAAUAGCAAAUGAAAAAUACCUUUAAUGGUGUUUCACAAACUCUUAGUCCCACCAUUUAUAAAGAUCACAAGUUUAUAAACGGCUAAUAUUCCUAAUAAAUUGUCCUAUUAUAAGUAGUACAAAUGUGUGAAUCUUCAACACAUGAAAAGUGUUGGCUGUAAGAGUGUACAUAUUUUGCUCCAGACAUCACUGAAAUGAUAAUCCCAAAGGAUUAAUACACUCUCAAGGUAUUAGUAUGAUGGAUAUAAUGGUACUCAUAAAUAUUCUAUUUGUCCUACUUUUUACAGCCUCCUUAUAAUUAAACAGUGAAAAAUUAACCUUUACUAUGCUAAAAUGCUGAGAUUUGGGAGAUAUUUGUUACUGCAGCAUAGCAUAGCCUAUUCUGACUAAUAGAGAUGGUAAGCGUGGACUUCAGUCUUGAAUCUAAACAAAAAUCAACCUUUAAACUCUUAAAGAUUUUCAACCAUUUAAUUAAAGACUGAGUAGAAUAUAACCAGGAUUGGCAAACUUUUCCUAUGAAAAUAGGAAACCAGACAAUAACUAUUUUAGUUUUUCCACAAAUAAUCUCUGCCACAACUACUCAACUCUGACAUUAGACCUUACAACAAGCAACCAUAAUUCAUAAAGUAAUGAACCUGACUGUGUUCCAAUAAUACUGUCCUCAAAACGGGAACUGGGCACCAUUUGGUGCAUGUGCCAUAGGUCACUAAGCCCUGGUUCUUCUGUUAAAUGUAGAAAUGGUGAAUACUUGGUAUGUUACAUUCUCAGGACUCCAAUAACAAAGUGCCAUUGGAUGGAUCAAACACCAUGUGUUUUUUAUUCUCUCACAGUUCUGGAGGCCAGAAGUCCAAAUACAAGUUGUUAGCAGAGUUGUUUCCUUCUAAGGGUUCUGAAGGACAAGCUGUUCCAUGUCUCUAGUCUAGCUUCAGAUCAUUGCCAGCAAUCUUGGGCAUUCCUUGGCAUGCAGAGACAGUACUCCAAUCUCUGCCUCAUCCCCCCAUUGCCGUCUUCUCCUAUGUGUCUCCCUCUUCUCACAAGGAGACGAGUCACCACGUUGGCCAAACUUCCUGCAAUACAACUUCAUUUUAACUAGCUAGACUUGCAAUGACCUUAUUUCUAAAAUAAGGUCCCAUUCUGAGUACUAAGGGUCAGAGUUUCAACACAUCUUUUGGGGUACACAAUUCAACCUGUAACACUUGGAUAUUUCUCUUUAUCUCUAUCUCUAACUCUUCCCUCCCUUCCUCUCUUUUCAGUGCUGGAAAUGAAACCCAGGGACUCAGGUAUGCUAGGCAAGUGCUUUACCACUGAGCUACCACCCCAGUCCAAUACUUGACAUCUUAAAUAAUGCAGUUCACUUUGAAAACUAACAAUAAUACAAAAGAACUUAAAUAAGCUCAUAGACCUUGGCUUUUACUAAGAGAGAUCCACUUAUCAUUUCCUUGACAAGAUUGAAAUUUUAGGUAUCUAACAGAUCAGUUAAAAGAAAAACCAUGCUCAUAAUUAAAAUAAUAAAUAGAACUUUGUCGUGUACAUUUACCAUUCCGUAUUAUUGUUCAGCCUCUCACUUUUUCCACAUCAUUGAUUGAUGCUUUAGAUGACAAAAUUAGAUUUGAUUUACAUAUUUUAAGUUAUGUCUUGAGACUGUUAUUAAAGCCUGGAACUGAUGAAAUGAUUAUUCCUUAGAGUCUAAAUUCAGACAUCUAAAAUAAUUUAUGGAAUACAAAAACCAUAAUUUCCUUGACGGAUUUUGGAACCUUAAAAUAUGAGAAAGCAGAUGAUCAGUCAAAUAGGCGCUUUAGCCAGUAUGUACAACAAGAAGGGAGUACCAAGGCCUAAUGACAGGUCCUUCCAGGACGAGGAGGCACCUGAACUGGGCUCAGGAGGUACCAUGGCUGGGACAGACCAACCAGGGAAGAUCUGAUAUGAUCCAAGGCAGGAAAUGAUGUAUGUGCUUGUGGAGGAUCAGCCUGAUUUGAAACAGUAGGAUAAUGUAGCAGCAAAGCAGGAGUUAUCAUUGAGAGUGGUUAAAACUGAUGUGAAAUACCUUACUGUCAACCUGAAAAGAGCUCAGAUUGCAUUCAUGAACAGUGUUUUUCUGAGUAAAUAGCAUCAAAGCUGUGUGGUAUGAUAUACAAGACAAGUAAGGCAGUAAAUCAAUGAAAGAUUUUAACAGUAGUAGAUGUGUUACAAAAAAGAGGUGGUGGAUAGUGUAGUGUGGCAGGGUAGAGGGUAGAAUUAGAUCAUCGAGAAAGGAUCAAAAGAAUUUCAGUGGGUCUUGAUGAUUGAAUUAUGAGAGCAUCUUAGUUCAUUUGUGCUGCUAUAACAAAAUAUCUGAGGCUGUGUAAUUUAUUAAAAAAAAAAAGUCCAAUUACCUCAGAAUUUUGAAGGCUAAAAAUCCAAGAUAAAGCAGCCACAUCUGUUUGG